This 544-nucleotide ribosomal RNA is filed under the name uncultured cyanobacterium. RNAcentral describes it as "bacterial SSU rRNA". It matches the Rfam family "Bacterial small subunit ribosomal RNA", at positions 162 to 736 of the family's 1533-position model. Lineage: Bacteria; Bacillati; Cyanobacteriota. The record is from RNAcentral.
GCUAAUACCGGAUGUGCCGCAACGUGAAAGGGGAAACCCGCCUGAAGAUGAGCUCGCGUCUGAUUAGCUAGUUGGUGAGGUAAAGGCUCACCAAGGCGACGAUCAGUAGCUGGUCUGAGAGGAUGACCAGCCACACUGGGACUGAGACACGGCCCAGACUCCUACGGGAGGCAGCAGUGGGGAAUUUUCCGCAAUGGGCAAAAGCCUGACGGAGCAAGACCGCGUGAGGGAAGAAGGCUCUUGGGUCGUAAACCUCUUUUAUCAGGGAAGAAAAAAAUGACGGUACCUGAAGAAUCAGCCUCGGCUAACUCCGUGCCAGCAGCCGCGGUAAUACGGAGGAGGCAAGCGUUAUCCGGAAUUAUUGGGCGUAAAGCGUCCGCAGGUGGCUUAUCAAGUCUGCUGUCAAAGAGUGGGGCUUAACCCCAUUAAGGCAGUGGAAACUGAGAAGCUAGAGUGCCGUAGGGGUAGAGGGAAUUCCCGGUGUAGCGGUGAAAUGCGUAGAGAUCGGGAAGAACAUCGGUGGCGAAAGCGCUCUACUGGACGG